UGGGGAAUUUUGGACAAUGGGGGAAACCCUGAUCCAGCCAUCCCGCGUGUGCGAUGAAGGCCUUCGGGUUGUAAAGCACUUUUGGCAGGAAAGAAACGUCGCGGGUUAAUACCCCGCGAAACUGACGGUACCUGCAGAAUAAGCACCGGCUAACUACGUGCCAGCAGCCGCGGUAAUACGUAGGGUGCAAGCGUUAAUCGGAAUUACUGGGCGUAAAGCGUGCGCAGGCGGUUCGGAAAGAAAGAUGUGAAAUCCCAGAGCUUAACUUUGGAACUGCAUUUUUAACUACCGGGCUAGAGUGUGUCAGAGGGAGGUGGAAUUCCGCGUGUAGCAGUGAAAUGCGUAGAUAUGCGGAGGAACACCGAUGGCGAAGGCAGCCUCCUGGGAUAACACUGACGCUCAUGCACGAAAGCGUGGGGAGCAAACAGGAUUAGAUACCCUGGUAGUCCACGCCCUAAACGAUGUCAACUAGCUGUUGGGGGCCUUCGGGCCUUGGUAGCGCAGCUAACGCGUGAAGUUGACCGCCUGGGGAGUACGGUCGCAAGAUUAAAACUUAAAUGAAUUGACGGGGUCAUAGCUG
This 580-nucleotide ribosomal RNA is filed under the name uncultured bacterium. RNAcentral's name for it is "partial 16S ribosomal RNA". It matches the Rfam family "Bacterial small subunit ribosomal RNA", at positions 355 to 932 of the family's 1533-position model. The record is from RNAcentral.